UCGCGGCUUAUCACCGGCAGUCCCCCCAGAGUGCCCAACCAAAUGAUGGCAACUGGGGGCGAGGGUUGCGCUCGUUGCGGGACUUAACCCAACAUCUCACGACACGAGCUGACGACAACCAUGCACCACCUGUUUACGAGUGUCCAAAGAGUUGACCAUUUCUGGCCCGUUCUCGUAUAUGUCAAGCCUUGGUAAGGUUCUUCGCGUUGCAUCGAAUUAAUCCGCAUGCUCCGCCGCUUGUGCGGGCCCCCGUCAAUUCCUUUGAGUUUUAGCCUUGCGGCCGUACUCCCCAGGCGGGGCGCUUAAUGCGUUAGCUACGGCACGGAAAACAUGAAUGUCCCCCACACCUAGCGCCCAACGUUUACAGCGUGGACUAC
RNAcentral lists this unclassified non-coding RNA (377 nucleotides) under uncultured Actinomycetes bacterium. Its description in RNAcentral is "uncultured actinobacterium contains 16S-23S intergenic spacer region". The record is from RNAcentral. Lineage: Bacteria; Bacillati; Actinomycetota; Actinomycetes.